RNAcentral lists this ribosomal RNA (1094 nucleotides) under Psychroflexus sp. S27. RNAcentral's name for it is "bacterial LSU rRNA". It matches the Rfam family "Bacterial large subunit ribosomal RNA", at positions 1 to 1108 of the family's 2925-position model. Lineage: Bacteria; Pseudomonadati; Bacteroidota; Flavobacteriia; Flavobacteriales; Flavobacteriaceae. The record is from RNAcentral.
UUAUUAUAAGCUUAUUAAGGGCGUAUGGGGGAUGCCUAGGCUCUCAGAGGCGAUGAAGGACGUGACAAGCUGCGAAAAGCUGCGGGGAUUAGCACAUAUGAAUUGAUCCGCAGAUAUCCGAAUGGGGCAACCCACUAGAUUGAAGAUCUAGUAUCCGAAAGGAGGCAAACCCGGUGAACUGAAACAUCUAAGUAGCCGGAGGAAGAGAAAACAAUAGUGAUUUUGCGAGUAGCGGCGAGCGAAAGUGAAGAAGCCCAAACCAGUUUUGUUUCGGCAAGAUUGGGGUUGUAGGACUACAAUAUUUGAUUAAAAUGUAACCCAAAGAGUAUGGAAAUGCUCUCCAAAGAAGGUGAUAGGCCUGUAGGGGUAAAAUUUUAAUUGAUAGUAGUAUCCUGAGUAAUGCGGGGCACGAGAAACCUUGCAUGAAUCUACCGGGACCAUCCGGUAAGGCUAAAUACUACUGAGAGACCGAUAGUGAACUAGUACCGUGAGGGAAAGGUGAAAAGAACCUUGAAUAAAGGAGUGAAAUAGACCCUGAAACCAUACGCUUACAAGCGGUCGGAGCCUUUAGGGGUGACGGCGUGCCUUUUGCAUAAUGAGCCUACGAGUUACCGGUGUUAGCGAGACUAAUUAAUUCAGUUAAGCAGUCGUAGCGAAAGCGAGUCUGAAUAGGGCGCAUAAGUUAGCAUUGGUAGACGCGAAACCGUGUGAUCUACCCUUGGGCAGGUUGAAGUUUAGGUAACACUAAAUGGAGGACCGCACCCGUUGACGUUGAAAAGUCUUGGGAUGACCUGAGGGUAGGGGUGAAAGGCCAAUCAAACUCGGAAAUAGCUCGUACUCCCCGAAAUGCAUUUAGGUGCAGCGGUAGAUUUAGUUUUAUAGAGGUAGAGCUACUGAUUGGAUGCGGGGGCUUCACCGCCUACCAAUUCCUGACAAACUCCGAAUACUAUAAAAUGAUGACUACCAGUGAGGGCAUGGGUGCUAAGGUCCAUGUCCGAGAGGGAAAGAACCCAGAGCAUCAGCUAAGGUCCCAAAAUAUAUACUAAGUUGAAAAAACGCGGUCUAAUUGCAUAGACAGCUAGGAUGUUGGCUUG